Molecule: ribosomal RNA, 843 nt
Filed under: Flavobacterium sp.
Lineage: Bacteria; Pseudomonadati; Bacteroidota; Flavobacteriia; Flavobacteriales; Flavobacteriaceae
Description: bacterial SSU rRNA
Rfam family: Bacterial small subunit ribosomal RNA
Source: RNAcentral
GUAACGCGUAUGCAAUCUGCCUUUCACAGAGGGAUAGCCCAGAGAAAUUUGGAUUAAUACCUCAUAGUAUUAUAGAGCGGCAUCACUUUAUAAUUAAAGUCACAACGGUGAAAGAUGAGCAUGCGUCCCAUUAGCUAGUUGGUAAGGUAACGGCUUACCAAGGCGACGAUGGGUAGGGGUCCUGAGAGGGAGAUCCCCCACACUGGUACUGAGACACGGACCAGACUCCUACGGGAGGCAGCAGUGAGGAAUAUUGGUCAAUGGACGCAAGUCUGAACCAGCCAUGCCGCGUGCAGGAUGACGGUCCUAUGGAUUGUAAACUGCUUUUGUACGAGAAGAAACACUCCUAUGUAUACGAGCUUGACGGUAUCGUAAGAAUAAGGAUCGGCUAACUCCGUGCCAGCAGCCGCGGUAAUACGGAGGAUCCAAGCGUUAUCCGGAAUCAUUGGGUUUAAAGGGUCCGUAGGCGGUUUAGUAAGUCAGUGGUGAAAGCCCAUCGCUCAACGGUGGAACGGCCAUUGAUACUGCUGAACUUGAAUUACUGGGAAGUAACUAGAAUAUGUAGUGUAGCGGUGAAAUGCUUAGAUAUUACAUGGAAUACCAAUUGCGAAGGCAGGUUACUACCAGUUUAUUGACGCUGAUGGACGAAAGCGUGGGGAGCGAACAGGAUUAGAUACCCUGGUAGUCCACGCCGUAAACGAUGGAUACUAGCUGUUGGGCGCAAGUUCAGUGGCUAAGCGAAAGUGAUAAGUAUCCCACCUGGGGAGUACGAACGCAAGAUUGAAACUCAAAGGAAUUGACGGGGGCCCGCACAAGCGGUGGAGCAUGUGGUUUAAUUCGAUG